AACGUAGGGGGCGAGCGUUGUCCGGAAUUACUGGGCGUAAAGGGCGCGUAGGCGGUUAUCCAAGUCAGGGGUGAAAACCUUGGGCUCAACUCAGGGCCUGCCUCUGAAACUGGGUAACUUGAGGGCAGGAGAGGGGAGUGGAAUUCCCAGUGUAGCGGUGAAAUGCGUAGAUAUUGGGAGGAACACCAGUGGCGAAGGCGGCUCUCUGGCCUAACCCUGACGCUGAGGCGCGAAAGCGUGGGGAUCAAACAGGAUUAGAUACCCUGGUAGUCCACGCCGUAAACGAUGGGUGCUAGGUGUAGGAGGUAUCGACCCCUUCUGUGCCGUAGUUAACACAAUAAGCACCCCGCCUGGGGAGUACGGCCGCAAGGUUGAAACUCAAAGGAAUUGACGGGGGCCCGCACAAGCGGUGGAGCAUGUGGUUUAAUUCGACGCAACGCGAAGAACCUUACCAGGGUUUGACAUCCUCUGACAGCCUAUGAAAGUAGGUUUUUCAUCUUCGGAUGGACAGGGAGACAGGUGGUGCAUGGUU
This 532-nucleotide ribosomal RNA is filed under the name uncultured bacterium. RNAcentral's name for it is "bacterial SSU rRNA". It matches the Rfam family "Bacterial small subunit ribosomal RNA", at positions 524 to 1050 of the family's 1533-position model. The record is from RNAcentral.